RNAcentral lists this transfer RNA (76 nucleotides) under Acidimicrobiia bacterium. Its description in RNAcentral is "tRNA-Lys". It matches the Rfam family "tRNA". From Rfam's summary of the family: Transfer RNA (tRNA) molecules are approximately 80 nucleotides in length. RNAcentral also lists the same sequence under 1 other name. Lineage: Bacteria; Bacillati; Actinomycetota; Acidimicrobiia. The record is from RNAcentral.
GCGCCUUUAGCUCAGUCGGUAGAGCAUCGGACUUUUAAUCCGUUGGUCGAGGGUUCGAGCCCCUCAGGGCGCACUA